GAGGGAUUAGCAUUAUUGACCUGCCCUUGGGAGGGGAACAACCGGCUGCUAAUACCCCGUAGGCUGAGGAGUAAAAGGAGGAAUCCACCCGAGGAGGGGCUCGCGUCUGAUUAGCUAGUUGGUGAGGCAAUAGCUUACCAAGGCGAUGAUCAGUAGCAGGGAGAAGGACCUUGUCGGCCAC
RNAcentral lists this non-coding RNA (181 nucleotides) under Ipomoea nil (Japanese morning glory). Its description in RNAcentral is "Bacterial small subunit ribosomal RNA". It matches the Rfam family "Bacterial small subunit ribosomal RNA", at positions 106 to 311 of the family's 1533-position model. The record is from Rfam by way of RNAcentral. Lineage: Eukaryota; Viridiplantae; Streptophyta; Magnoliopsida; Solanales; Convolvulaceae.